UUACCCCUACCCGAAAGGGCAGAGAGGCUGUUUCCAAUCAACCCUCGGCGCAUAGGAUAAAAGGAAAAACAGCAGUAAAACAAAAACAAAGACAAAAACAAAAACAAUAGAGCAUAUAAGCAAAUAUUGCAUAGGAUAAAAGGAAAAACAGCUGUAAAACAAAAACAAAAAUAAUAGAGCAUUAGUAACUCCCGCAAAAAUA
Molecule: long non-coding RNA, 202 nt
Filed under: Nicotiana benthamiana
Lineage: Eukaryota; Viridiplantae; Streptophyta; Magnoliopsida; Solanales; Solanaceae
Description: long non-coding RNA (NBEN_LNC003652)
Source: RNAcentral